AAAUCAUCAAAGUUUUCACCAGUUUAUCACUGUUAAAGACACCAAGUUCUCACACAUGCACUGAGUGCAAGGGAAGAAUGAAAGCAAUCCCAUCUAAAGUUUCUCUGUACAGUCAGCGCACACUGAUAUUAAUCUAGGUUUGUACUUGCCAAGUAAGCAAAUGGUUACUACUGCUUGUGUGUGCGUGUAUGUGUGAUCAGAAGAAUUAGUUUGAAUUAGUUUUGAUACAAAGAACAAUAAUGUUUUAUACUGUCUAGCUGUUAGUAAUUUUGAUGUGCCACACUGAGGUGAUUAACACGUGAGGUUGUUGAACACUGGUACUGUUAUGAAAGGGUACUGGAACGUCUACUUUUCAAAGUUCUUGAAGUUCAUUGAAUAGGAAACUGGAAACCUGAGUUCAAAUUUCAUCCUUUGUUACAUGCAUUUUAUGUUACCAUGGUAACUUCCAUGCCUUCAUUGGCUCAAUUUUCCCUUCUGUGAAAUGGGGGGUAACCAGUGAGAUACGUUGAUCUCACUCAAUGUAUACUGUAUAAAAUGUUACUGUAUAAAAUUGCUUAUGGCAGCUGGUAAAAUAUUAUCCCUGUGUUAAAGUGGAAAUGAUUAUGAAAAUGCACAUAAAAAAGAAUUUUCACUUGUUCAUAACAUGUUUUUCUGUUUGUUUUGUGUGUACACACAACGCUUUUCGGUUUGCUCUUUGCUGCUGUUUGUGACCUGACUAGAAUUGUGUGUGCAGUCCCAGAAUUUCUAGAAGCAGGAAGAAGGUCCUCUAGACUGGUAAACUGAAUUGAUAUGAAGUUGAAAUACUUACCUAUGCAGCAGCUGGUCAUGAUUUUGCACCCUUCAGAAUGCCUAUCAAGUAUCUACAGUGAACAGAAUGAAGUUAGCAGUCUUUGGGUAUGCAUCAGUGUCCAAAAAUACAGUUCUAGUUUAAAGUAUCAGAUAUGAAACUUGUGCUGCUUAUCAUGUGUAGUACUAAUGUCCCUGUUAUCCCAGAGAUAAUAUUUUCUUUUCACAGCUGCUAAAAGCUCCUAAAACUCUUUGAAAAUGGUGCAUUGAGAGUCCAAUUAGUUUUAAAAUCAAAUCUUGUGAAAUUUGCUGUGUUCUUUGAUUAUAAAGUGUUUUGGAGCAGAUUUCUAAAGCCUUUUGUCUUCAAGUUAUGCAUAGUCAGAUGGAACAAUACUCAUAUUUUUCAGUGUCCCCUAAAAGGCAUCAAAUUUUUAGGCCCAUCUGACAGAACUAAAAAAAACUUUUAAUACAUGCAAAUUGAGAUGUUUAUUCAUGCUGGAAAACCCAUGUUCCCAUUUAUAAGUGUACUGGUUUUAGCCAGACUGGUGCAGUAUACACAGAAGAAAGUAAGUGACACCAUUUCAGCAAAAUAUUUUAGGAGCAGCAAGUAUGGCUGUGGGCAGAAGAUGUAAAACAUAUAUGCCUAAGCACAUCUGUGGGCUUGAUUUUCAGUGGAGAAGUGAAAGCUUUUUGCAUGACUGAGGGUCUGAAACUACUCUUUCCAAAACUUCAGCUCCUGGCAGCCACAAUUAUGAAAAAAACCUUCAAAAUAUGAUGUAAGUGCAAACCGAGAAGGUAUUGUGUUUCUCACAGUUUCAGGAUUUUUGCUCAACAUUCUUUUCUGCAUUAGCAAAUGGGCCAAACUUUGAGUGGUUUUAUUGCUGCUUAUUCUGUACCUUGUAGGAUGGUAAAAAGUGUAAGUUGUAUCACUUUACUGUUUGCUCAUGAGCUCUGUGCAGAAAUAGAAACAGAUACUGGUGCUGUGCUAUUCCUUCCUCAUUUCUGAGAAAGAAAUAAAAUAAUUGGGACUAUCCAUCUGCCUAGUCUUCCUUCCUUGUUACUCCUAGAACUUCUUUUGAUGUAGGUUCAGCCUACCCAUUAGCUAACACUGCAAAAAGGUCUUAGGCUGUGGGAUGUUUUUAUUGUCUUGUCUUUUUUUUUUUAAUUAUCUUCCAGGGGACAAGACUCAACCCCCUUGCACUUAAACAACCCCCUUCCUCCCACCAUAUGCAAACGACCUGUUUUUAUGAGCGCAAAAUCCUUGAGAUUUCUGUGUCUGCUCUGUAUAUGACAAAACAGCAGAAAAGGAUGACCUACUUCCAAUCCUCCCCACCAACGUUCCUGCUCUUUGGGCUGGUUAAAAGUGAUGUAACUCUGGUAUCAUUUUUUCUUCGCCAAGGAGAAGUUCUGACCAACUUUUGGCAUUGAAAGGAAGAGGUCCCCAUAGCUUCAUAUGAGUCUGUAAAUUAUAUUUUUUUACAAGAACACCCAUAAAGUGUAUGGAGAGAGUGGAGAGAUGUGUGGGAGACCUGAAAAACAGAAGCCCCCUGAAGGCCUUUCCAUCAAGCUUUGCAAAUGCAAUACUGUGAAAGGAAGGUAUAACUUCCAGUUUGGCUAUGUUUGCUGAAGAAAAAGUUAGAUAUGCUAACUGGAAGACCACAGGGGUCCAAAAUAGACCAGUCUCCUUCAGCUAACGUUCAGUUGAGUGAUGGCUAUGCGAUAGAAAUGCAGUCCUUUUCUGCUAGUUGUUUCAAUGACAGAAAUAAUCUGCUCGAAAACUGUUCCUAAGCAGGAAGAGUCAGUGCUGUUCCUUUCCAGCCUCCUGCCGGCUGCCCAGGAAAGAGCUGCCACAUGUAUGAUGCCGAGUAUUGCUUGCAGCAAGUGCUGACCCUUGGGAAGGAGAGUGCCGGCUGACUCCUGCAGGACAGGCUGCCUUCUCCAG
Molecule: long non-coding RNA, 2728 nt
Organism: Cygnus atratus (black swan)
Lineage: Eukaryota; Metazoa; Chordata; Aves; Anseriformes; Anatidae
Exons: 4
Source: RefSeq, a predicted model, not a curated record